This 1191-nucleotide long non-coding RNA is filed under the name Homo sapiens (human). RNAcentral's name for it is "HSALNT0369308". Lineage: Eukaryota; Metazoa; Chordata; Mammalia; Primates; Hominidae. The record is from RNAcentral.
AGCACUGGAUGGGUAAGCUUCUAAAAGGAGAAGAGACAAUCUGCACACAACAUUGGCAUAUCCAGGGCUCUACUGUAUUGGAAGCAUCAAGUAGUUAGAAGAGUCCAGCAGGCACAGCCAGGAGAAGUGGCAGGAUCAUCUUGCUGGUUGGUUUUACACAUCCCCCUCCUUCUCCAGGUAAAACCAAUCAGCAAGGGGAGAAGGGUUGGGGUGAGAGGAGAGGAAACAAAAUGACUGUCACUGUAAGGUAACUGACUAGCCUUGUUUGGGGACACAUGGGAGAGACACCCUGCGGACCUUUAGAAAUACCUGGGUUUGGAAGGGUCCUUGCAGAAUCCUGAGAUCCUGUAGUAGGUGGGAGUGAGAGCCAGUGAAACCAGGUGAUUUCUUGCAUUCUUCUCCUUAGUAUAGUUUUACUCAUGGAGGGUAUGACCAAGCAAACAGACCUCUUAACUGUUUCUCUUUUAAAGGACAGAAGGAGGUCUGCCCCACCAAGGGCUGGUUCCCUGAAUUCUUUGGAACAGCUGUAGCAAAACUGGAAUGUGCUACAGCUCUUUGGAGGCUGCAGACCCACUGAAAACGUCACUGAAGAUAUUGCCGGGGCCACUGAUGACUUUAUAACUUCACCAAAGGAAUUAACCUCUAGUUAUUAGUAAGGAGGUUUUGUAUACCAGUGAAACUACUGACAUCACCUGGUCUGAAGGACCCCAUGAAGAGAUGACUCACCAAAGAAUGCAGUUUCCACAUCCUGAUGAUUUCAUCCCCAUUACCUGACAAAACAAUGACCCCAAUUUCCCAGCCCCUCACCCUCCAUGACCCCCUGAAAAACGUCAGCUAGAAACUUCUCGGAGAGAUGGAUUUAAGGGUCUCCUCCCAUCCCCUUGCUUGGUGCCCUGUGAUCAUUACACUCUUUCUCUGCUGCAAACCCUGCUAUCUCUGUACCUGUCUGUCACUGCACAGCAGGCAUAUGAAUCUGUUGGUCCUAUAACAUCGCAACGUAACAUUCCCAUGUGGAGGGGGAUUACACUCCAUGUUCUUAUCACAGCAAAACAUAUGUCACACGUAGCAAUCUAUGUAAGUGUUUGGAAUCAUUUCAGAGCUACAUAACAGGCACCAUUGUGAAAUGCAGGAAACUCUGAAUUUCCAGUUUUGAAAAAAUUGUAUUGGAGCUCUGUCUCUGCUACCCACUAA